Molecule: ribosomal RNA, 589 nt
Filed under: uncultured Pseudomonadota bacterium
Lineage: Bacteria; Pseudomonadati; Pseudomonadota
Description: bacterial SSU rRNA
Rfam family: Bacterial small subunit ribosomal RNA
Source: RNAcentral
ACGGGUGAGUAACGCGUAGGUAAUCUACCCCAGAAUCUGGAAUAACCUGCCGAAAGGCGGGCUAAUACUGGAUAGAGCGAUGGAAUCCGUAAUUGGGUUUUUCGGGGAAGGGAGCUCGCAAGAGCCUUCGUUUUGGGAUGAGCCUGCGUCUCAUUAGCUAGUUGGUGGGGUAACAGCCCACCAAGGCAUUGAUGGGUAGCUGGUCUGAGAGGAUGAUCAGCCACACUGGAACUGAAACACGGCCCAGACUCCUACGGGAGGCAGCAGUGGGGAAUCUUGCGCAAUGGACGAAAGUCUGACGCAGCCGCGCCGCGUGAGUGAAGAAGGCCUUCGGGUUGUAAAGCUCUGUCGUCCGGGACGAAAAUCUUAUGGGUGAAUAGCCCAUAGGACUGACGGUACCGGAAAAGGAAGCACCGGCUAACUCCGUGCCAGCAGCCGCGGUAAUACGGAGGGUGCAAGCGUUGCUCGGAAUUAUUGGGCGUAAAGGGCAGGUAGGUGGUCUCAUUUGUCUGGGGUGAAAGCCUUGAGCUUAACUCAAGAAGUGCCCCAGAAACGGUGAGACUGGAGUCCUGGAGAGGGUCGUGGAAUU